GAUUAUUAUUUUAAAAUGCAAUAAAAUGAAAAUUGUCUUUUAUGGGCUAAUUGUCUUAACUUUUCUCUUUAAGGUAGUCUGGCACCUGCAAGUUCCAGCAAGCUUUAUAGAGAAGCCUUAUAUAUAACAGAUCUGAGGCAUUAUCUGAAGUCUGUCUACAUUCAUUAGGAGUCCCUUAAAAAAAAUAUAGAUAAAAGCUAGUCUCAAAUUCUGUUCGCAACUUACACCAGUGAAACCACAGAGUCUUCAAAGGAGCUUUACACAGUGAGAUCUGUACCAUUUUCUUCUUUCAGCAUCCUCACCUGAUGGAAGAACUUGGAUCAGUGGAAUAUUUUCUGAACAAAUCAAUGCAGCGUGAGGAGCUAAAAGAGUUCUGGGCAUUCACAGGCUUUUCAGUAAGAUUAAGAAAUUACAUGUUUAUGAAGGGACAGGAGGUUGCUAUACAAAAGACCUAG
RNAcentral lists this long non-coding RNA (455 nucleotides) under Coturnix japonica (Japanese quail). RNAcentral describes it as "lncRNA (ENSCJPG00005016783.1)". The record is from RNAcentral. Lineage: Eukaryota; Metazoa; Chordata; Aves; Galliformes; Phasianidae.